UCGCGGUAAUACGUAGAAGACUAGUGUUAUUCAUCUUUAAUAGGUUUAAAGGGUACCUAGACGGUAAAUCAAGCCUUCAAGGGACUAAUUUACUAGAGUUACUUGGGAGGGGGUAUUAAAGUACUGCUGGUGUAGAGAUGAAAUUCUGUCAUACCUUUCUGUAUUAGAAUAAUGGCACAGGUAUAGGCGAAAGCAUCCCCUUAUGUGAUAACUGACGUUGAAGGACGAAGGCUUUGUGUCGCGAACAGGAUUAGAUACCCCAGUAGUCAAAGCAGAAAAUGAUGAGUGUCAUAGAUUAGACAUAUAAUAGUUUAUUCUAUAAAUGAAAGUGUAAGCAUUCCACCUCAAGAGUAAUUUGGCAACAUUGGAACUGAAAUCAUUAGACCGUUUCUGAAACCAGUAGUGAAGUAUGUUGUUUAAUUUGAUAAUCCGCAAAAAACCUUACCACAAUUUGAAUAUUUAUGUAUUUUUUAUAUUUCUCAUUUUUUUUUAUCACUUUUUCUUAUCUCUUACACGAAAAAAUAAAAAAAAAACAGUAAGUUAAGAAAACAUAUUUACAAGCGUUGCACGGCUGUCUUCAGUUAAUGUCGUGAGAUUUUGGUUAGCUCCAUUAAAUUAACGUAAACCCUUACUUUAUUUUUAUAUAAAGUAGUUCUCCGCUAGAUUGGAUAAGAUAACAGGGACUAAGACAAGUCAUC
This 698-nucleotide ribosomal RNA is filed under the name Verseghya thysanophora. RNAcentral's name for it is "Lecanora thysanophora partial small subunit ribosomal RNA". It matches the Rfam family "Bacterial small subunit ribosomal RNA", at positions 515 to 1194 of the family's 1533-position model. Lineage: Eukaryota; Fungi; Ascomycota; Lecanoromycetes; Lecanorales; Lecanoraceae. The record is from RNAcentral.